CUGACACACAGCACAAUGAUGAUGUCACUGAUUCUACUGCUCGGGACACUGGGGCUCCUUGUUCAGGAAUCAUCAGCAGAUAUAAUUCUGACCCAGUCUCCUAAAUCUCAGUCUGUUAGUCCAGGAGAGUCUGUCUCUAUCAGCUGUACAGCCAGUUCAAGUACUCGUAAUAAUCUCCACUGGUACCUGCAGAAACCUGGAGAAGCUCCUAAACUCCUGGUUUAUUCUGCUACAACCCGUCAGUCUGGGAUUCCAGGUCGUUUCAGUGGGAGUGGAUCUGGUAGUUCAUAUACUCAUUACACUCUGACCAUCAGUGGAGUCCAGGCUGAAGAUGCAGCAGAUUACUACUGUCAGCAGGGUUACAGCAAUCCGUUCACACAGUGUUAG
This is a non-coding RNA of Salvelinus namaycush (lake trout), 387 nucleotides long. The record is from the annotation of a RefSeq genome assembly. NCBI's taxonomy places the organism in Eukaryota, Metazoa, Chordata, Actinopteri, Salmoniformes, Salmonidae.